GACGAACGCUGGCGGCGUGCCUAAUACAUGCAAGUAGAACGCUGAAGGAGGAGCUUGCUUCUCUGGAUGAGUUGCGAACGGGUGAGUAACGCGUAGGUAACCUGCCUGGUAGCGGGGGAUAACUAUUGGAAACGAUAGCUAAUACCGCAUAAGAGUAGAUGUCGCAUGACAUUUGCUUAAAAGGUGCAAUUGCAUCACUACCAGAUGGACCUGCGUUGUAUUAGCUAGUUGGUGAGGUAACGGCUCACCAAGGCAACGAUACAUAGCCGACCUGAGAGGGGGAUCGGCCACACUGGGACUGAGACACGGCCCAGACUCCUACGGGAGGCAGCAGUAGGGAAUCUUCGGCAAUGGACGGAAGUCUGAACGAGCAACGCCGCGUGAGUGAAGAAGGUUUUCGGAUCGUAAAGCUCUGUUGUAAGAGAAGAACGAGUGUGAGAGUGGAAAGUUCACACUGUGACGGUAUCUUACCAGAAAGGGACGGCUAACUACGUG
This 495-nucleotide ribosomal RNA is filed under the name uncultured bacterium. RNAcentral describes it as "partial 16S ribosomal RNA". It matches the Rfam family "Bacterial small subunit ribosomal RNA", at positions 28 to 507 of the family's 1533-position model. The record is from RNAcentral.